Molecule: long non-coding RNA, 2798 nt
Organism: Oncorhynchus tshawytscha (Chinook salmon)
Lineage: Eukaryota; Metazoa; Chordata; Actinopteri; Salmoniformes; Salmonidae
Source: Ensembl
CCCCCGACACUCGAACCACAAGGGCCAAUACACACAUUUCUCUGCAGGAUGGUGAACUCAGUGUAAUAUAUUGUUACAUCUAAAUUACCCUUUUUUCUCAGUAUUACAAAUAGAUAAAUGCUAAUUAGCUUUCUUUGAGUCUGUUCUCUCCCCUUUCUCUGUCCUCCCAACGACCUCUCUACACCUGCUUUGUCUUUUUAAUGUUUGCCUCCCUCCGUCGAUCUCCCUUCUAUAAACGUACCAGCUUUCAGUUUUCCAAACAGCCGCAGAACGGACGGUGCUCAUGCGUUUUCCCGUUUUUGGCCCCUCGCCGCUCUUAACAAGUAGUCUCUUCUGAUUGGUGCAGAGAGCUCUCAAUGAGAUAAUAGAGGGCCAGUCCAAUGGGAAGGGUAAUAGGGAUAGGUCAGAGGGGAAACGAGUCCUCACCUUUCAUACCAUCUGUUAUCCAACGAAGAUGAGCGGGUCUCACUAGUUAUCACAGCCACAAAGUCAGAAGGCCCGCCUACUCGACCAAUCAGGCGAGAGGGAGUGUGAUGACGCAUACGUAGUGCUCAGAGAAAUAACCUUUUGCGGUUAAAUUCCCAUGUAGCGAAUUUUAAAAAACAACAAGUUAAAUGUGUUUUCCAUGUCAUUUUUCAACUCUUUCUGAUGGUUCUCUCACAAAACGCGUUUGCGUUACAUAGCGAGCGUGGUCACUCUGGUAUUGGCACGUGCGCGCUCGAGGCAACAGGGCUAUCUGCGCACUGUUGUCUCGUUGUGCACAAAUAACCUAUACGAUUACAUUAUUAUUAUGGACAAUCGGCAGCCAAGCAUCGAUUAUCCUGUCACCAGAAUAACACCUUCGAUAUUUAUUGGAAAGGAGCAUCGAGUUUAUCACCUUAAUGUAUUUAAUCUGUAGUCUAAGAAACUGCACGCUUUCCUGAUCAGUCGUAGUGGGGAGAACCACACAACAUGUCAUCGCGUCACUCCAAAAUGUACUUCGAAAUUAUUGUUAUUAUAUCAAUAUUUGCGCAUACAAGCGUUUCCACCGAGAUAUAUCUCGCAUAAGCUAAUUCAUUUUAUUGACACAAAAAGAUCCCAUGUCGCGUAUCUUGAGCAUCUGGCAGCAAAAGUGCUGAGCUCUGAGAACGCGGGAGACACCAUGCAGCAGGUAGCGACUCAAACCACAUCCACUGCGCGCGCAGACUUAUCGCAAAACUAUGUGGAGAAAUGGGAUCAGGGGAUGACCCUGUUCUAUUUCACACCAAGGCUUGGUGGUUAUCGGGGGGGGGGUUCCAGUUCUUACUGGACUUUCAAAAGAGACCCCUUCCUACCUUCUCGGCUGUGCAUGUCUCUAAACAGAAAAGAGCAUCAGUAAGUGUCCCGCACGAGUGAUGACUACUCACCUCAUACACUUGGAAGAGAACUUUGGGAACCGACUUCCUAAACCGUUUGACUGUGAUUCUGGCUCAGUUGACAUGCUGGUAAGUGAAAUCGAACAGCUGAUUGAGCUGUCAUGUGACCAAAUUAAUUCACGGGUCACUACUGAGGAGUUUAGGUUGAUGACUCAAAAGGGAAAAUACCAUGGCACACUGAACAUUAAUGCCGCAUUCAAAACAUUUGGGAACUCGGGAAAUCUCUGCCUUCCGACUUCAGCGCAUUCAAGACAACUGGGAACUGAAACAUAAGCGAGCUCCGACUGAGGAAAAAAACCCGAUUUGAACGGUCAUCCACCUCGGAAUCUCGAGAAGACAAUCAGAAAUACUGUUAGAAUGUUUUUCAAUUGACUGCCACAGCGCCAAAUAAAACAUGUAAACAUUGUUUUUUGGGGUCGAGAGAUUUUUGUUGGAAAUCCAAAAUUCAGUCGAGAGUCCAAAAAGGGAGUGUUAUUCUAUUUGACAGAGCAACAUUGUUAAAUAGUAAUAACACAUUUUUGACCUUCAACAAAUGCACAGCCUUCGGCAGGAAAACAACUCAGCUAGUAGGCUCAGGAAAAAAAACAACUCAGCUAGUAGGCUCAGGAAAAAAAACAACUCAGCUAGUAGGCUCAGGAAAAAAAAAACAACUCAGCUAGUAGGCUCAGGAAAAAAAAACCUCAGCUAGUAGGCUCAGAAAAAAAAAAACUCAGCUAGUAGGCUCAGGAAGAAAAAAAACAGCUAGUAGGCUCAGGAAGAAAAAAAACAACUCAGCUAGUAGGCUCAGGAAAAAAAAAAAACUCAGCUAGUAGGCUCAGGAAAAAAAAAACAACUCAGCUAGAGGCUCAGGAAAAAAAAAAAAAAACUCAGCUAGUAGGCUCAGGAAAAAAAAAAACUCAGCUAGUAGGCUCAGGAAAAAAACAACAACUCAGCUAGUAGGCUCAGGAGAAAAAAAACUCAGCUAGUAGGCUCAGAUGUCCUUUAUCUAUUACCCAAGAGGCUGAGGAAGUCGUGGGAUACCAUUCUAAUAUCUCUGUCUCAGGAAAACAACUCAGCUGAGAGAGUAGAAGGCUCCCGAUUCAAUGGUGUUCCGUUUCAAGUUGUGGGCACGAAAACGUAUACGAAUGCCACCCGGGGAAACAGACAAACCACAGACCAUAACCUUUUGGCAAUGAUGUCCUUUAUCUAUUACCCAAGAGGCUGAUGAACUCGUGGGAUACAAUUUUAAUGUUUCUGUGUCCAGUAUGAAGGAAGUUAGUAGUUUCGCAAGCCAAUGCUAACUAGCAUUAGCGCAAUGACUGGAAGUCUAUGGGUAUCUGCUGCUAGCAUGUUCCUCAAUCAAAUGGAAGAAGAUGGGACUUUAAACAGGUGUCCUUACUCUGUGGUCACUAAAGAUCCCACGGG